CACUCCUGCGGGAGGCAGCAGUGGGGAAUUUUGGACAAUGGGCGAAAGCCUGAUCCAGCAAUGCCGCGUGAGUGAAGAAGGCCUUCGGGUUGUAAAGCUCUUUUGUCAGGGAAGAAACGGUGAAAGCUAAUAUCUUUUGCUAAUGACGGUACCUGAAGAAUAAGCACCGGCUAACUACGUGCCAGCAGCCGCGGUAAUACGUAGGGUGCAAGCGUUAAUCGGAAUUACUGGGCGUAAAGCGUGCGCAGGCGGUUUUGUAAGUCUGAUGUGAAAUCCCCGGGCUCAACCUGGGAAUUGCAUUGGAGACUGCAAGGCUAGAAUCUGGCAGAGGGGGGUAGAAUUCCACGUGUAGCAGUGAAAUGCGUAGAUAUGUGGAGGAACACCGAUGGCGAAGGCAGCCCCCUGGGUCAAGAUUGACGCUCAUGCACGAAAGCGUGGGGAGCAAACAGGAUUAGAUACCCCGGUAGUCCC
RNAcentral lists this ribosomal RNA (471 nucleotides) under uncultured organism. RNAcentral describes it as "partial 16S ribosomal RNA". It matches the Rfam family "Bacterial small subunit ribosomal RNA", at positions 334 to 797 of the family's 1533-position model. The record is from RNAcentral.